GAUGGAAUAGUGUUAUGUGAGCACGUGUAAUUGUCGUUUACGAGGGACUCCAUUAA
Molecule: transfer RNA, 56 nt
Filed under: Xiphinema rivesi
Lineage: Eukaryota; Metazoa; Nematoda; Enoplea; Dorylaimida; Longidoridae
Description: tRNA-Asp
Source: RNAcentral